AUGGUUUUCUUUCCUAAAUAUAACCCGCGAGCCCUAGGAGGAGUUCAGUGGGGCACGGCACACCCCGCAGACGCUUGGUUUCGCUGUUCGCAGUUAAAGGAUCGGCUGGGUUUUGGAGAUGGGGAAGCGAGGAUCCGAGCACUGCAUCCCUGCGGGUCCAGCAGCAGCCCCGCGGCGAGCAGAGCUGCGAGAGCAGGUCCUCCCUGCCACAGACGUGGGGUUUUCCCCCCAGAAAAUCAAAGGACCUCCUCCUUCUCCAGCCCAGAGCACACAGCGCACGCUUCCCAUCCCAUCCCUCGGGGCUCUCCGCGGCAGCUGCCCACGGUUUUCCACGAGGGAUCCCCGUGGGGCCAGGGCUCCCCAUGGGGCUGGGGUCCCUCCACUGGUCUGGGGUCUCCCCACGGGGCCGGGGUCUCCCCUGGUAUCUCCAGGACCGGGCUGCGAGCCCUGCCAGGGGGUUCUCCCGAGCAUCUCCCCGGGGAUGCAAGGAGGCUGGCGCUCCCGCUGAGCCUGAGAGACUCAACCCUUGAAUUUAAAUCCUUAAAACCGGACUCUUUUAGAGCAGUCUCCAAGGCUUACAUAAAUAAAUAAUAUAUAUAUAUACGUAUAUAUAUAUAUAUACAUAUAUAUUUUUUUUUUUUCUGGCACCACUGAGCCGCCUCCCGCAUCCGUGCCCACGGGGGCACCCGGCCGCCCCCGGGCAAUGCCCCAGAGGGGUUGGGGAAGGAAAUUACGGGAAAUUAAAGACCCAUAGACACCUCUUUCAGGGAGCUGUGCCAAGUCAAGGUUUCAGGCUUCUGCCCUAGGGGGCUCGCCUUGUCCCCGGUUCGCACCCCGCGCAGCCUACAGGCGUCUGCCCGCAGCGGGAUGCAUGUGGUGGGGAUGCCGAGCGCCGGAUCUGCAGCUGGAGCGUGUCGGGGCCGUGCCGGGCUCGCAUCCGGUGCUAAAAAGCGGAAUAAGGCUGGAAAAUCGUCUUGAGGCUCGCGAUGCUGGGGCACAAGCGGUCUGCUCCUUUCUGAGGCUCCGUUCUCGGUUUCUAAAGAGCAGCUAAUUCAUUGCUCCCACGGGAGCGCUAAAGAGAAGCUCAGUCAUGUUUCCAGCGCUCUCAAGCAUCGUCAUGACAAGUGCCAAAGGAAAAGAAGAGAGUAGCAUUUGUUUCUUAUUCACCGCACUUGCAACAAAUAAGGCUUGGGAUCGCACUGAGGCAUAAAAGGGACAAGCUGGUUUCUGGGUGCUGUCCUACGUCCCCCAGCCCUCCAGCCACCCCUGUCUCUGCUGUGCCUUCCCCUGUUGCUUUCCCUACCCUCUCUGCUGGGUUAUUUCCCCUGUAGCCAUCCUCUUGCAGCAGAGGAUUCCCUGAUUCUUGGCCCCCGUGGGUCGCAGCUGAGCUCCC
Molecule: long non-coding RNA, 1393 nt
Filed under: Anas platyrhynchos platyrhynchos (common mallard)
Lineage: Eukaryota; Metazoa; Chordata; Aves; Anseriformes; Anatidae
Description: lncRNA (ENSAPLG00000028520.1)
Source: RNAcentral